GCUGUAAACAGACACUACUGCCCACAACACGCAGGACAUCUGCUCCAGGGGCUGAGGUCCCGGGAGUCUCAAGAAUUCUGCACCUAGCUCCUCACCAUGGUCUGGUGCCAGAGGAAGCACUCCCCUCUCCCCAGAGGCACCUCCCCGUCACCCCCCGAGGAGUAUAAGAGCUGCAGCCACAUGCUACCAUCAGGAGGAACCUGUCUGCCAGUUUUGGGUUUACCUUGAUGUCAGUCUUGCAAUCCAAGCUGCGGAAAGUCUCAUUUCCACCUGGCAAGAAAAGCAGCACUGAUAUCCUGGCCCUCAUCUGACAACCAGCACUGAAACAGGCUUUUUCACACUGAGGUCCUGAUGGCAGUGGCAUGGUUGAGUCUGAGGGCAACAUUUUCCCUUGAACAAUCAAUGGCACUUAAGAUCCUAAACCCAUUAGGUCACUUUUGGAAAUGUUGCCCCACAGAGUGCUGGCCUCUUGCCAGCUGACUGAACCCAGUGGGAGGCUUCCAAAGUGGUGGCCUUUUCUUUGAAAGACUGCUCAGCUAUUAAAGCCCUUAUUACUAUACUUAACAACUGGCUUA
Alligator mississippiensis (American alligator) is the source of this 575-nucleotide long non-coding RNA. RefSeq lists it as uncharacterized. The record is from RefSeq and is a predicted model, not a curated record. Lineage: Eukaryota; Metazoa; Chordata; Crocodylia; Alligatoridae. The transcript has 3 exons.